UGGGGAAUCUUGGACAAUGGGCGCAAGCCUGAUCCAGCCAUGCCGCGUGAGUGAUGAAGGCCCUAGGGUUGUAAAACUCUUUCGCCAGGGAAGAUAAUGACUGUACCUGGUAAAGAAGCCCCGGCUAACUCCGUGCCAGCAGCCGCGGUAAUACGGAGGGGGCUAGCGUUGUUCGGAAUUACUGGGCGUAAAGGGCGCGUAGGCGGGGUAUCCAGUUAGGGGUGAAAGCCCGGGGCUCAACCUCGGAACUGCCUUUAAAACUGAUACUCUAGAGUCCGGAAGAGGGUCGCGGAAUUCCCAGUGUAGAGGUGAAAUUCGUAGAUAUUGGGAAGAACACCGGUGGCGAAGGCGGCGACCUGGUCCGGUACUGACGCUGAGGCGCGAAAGCGUGGGGAGCAAACAGGAUUAGAUACCCCCGUAGUCC
RNAcentral lists this ribosomal RNA (424 nucleotides) under uncultured prokaryote. RNAcentral describes it as "partial 16S ribosomal RNA". It matches the Rfam family "Bacterial small subunit ribosomal RNA", at positions 355 to 796 of the family's 1533-position model. The record is from RNAcentral.